This 113-nucleotide ribosomal RNA is filed under the name Operophtera brumata (winter moth). Lineage: Eukaryota; Metazoa; Arthropoda; Insecta; Lepidoptera; Geometridae. The record is from RNAcentral.
GCCAACGUCCAUACCAAGUUGACGGUUCUCGUCCGAUCACCGAAGUUAAGCAACGUCGGGCGCGGUCAGUACUUGGAUGGGUGACCGCCUGGGAACACCGCGUGACGUUGGCU